AGGUAGGAAGAUUUAAAGCUCUGGGUAAGGUUGCACAAGACUGCAUCCACUAUAUUUUAUCCUUUGUGCCGCUUGGAUCCACUUGCUUCAUAAAAUUUCUGGGAACAGAUCCAUCAGGAUUCUGGUGGACCUCAUUUCCCAGAGGAAAUGUGUAAAAGGAAGUUUAGUGGGAUUAACUAUAGCCUCUCCCACUGAAGCCAGGCACUUGCUCACAACUGAUGCUCAUCAUCUCCAUCCUCCACUAUCCAUUCAAGAUUCCCCUCACCUUUGGCUAGGAGCUCAACUUGUUUAGGAGGUUUAUUUGGUGACAGAACAAAGAACCUCAUACCUGAAGUUCCUGAUACCCUGGUAACCAUGCUAUGGUUUGCAUGCGGCUGCAACACUCAUUCUUUAACUGAGAUUGAAUUUGUCUGUUGGGGAAUGUAGAAGCAAGUUUUGCAUCAUCUUGGA
RNAcentral lists this long non-coding RNA (450 nucleotides) under Equus caballus (horse). RNAcentral's name for it is "lncRNA (ENSECAG00000059863.1)". Lineage: Eukaryota; Metazoa; Chordata; Mammalia; Perissodactyla; Equidae. The record is from RNAcentral.